GACGAGCGCUGGCGGCGUGCCUAAUACAUGCAAGUAGAACGCUGAAGGAGGAGCUUGCUUCUCUGGAUGAGUUGCGAACGGGUGAGUAACGCGUAGGUAACCUGCCUGGUAGCGGGGGAUAACUAUUGGAAACGAUAGCUAAUACCGCAUAACAGUAGAUAUCGCAUGAUAUCUACUUGAAAGGUGCAAUUGCAUCACUACCAGAUGGACCUGCGUUGUAUUAGCUAGUUGGUGAGGUAACGGCUCACCAAGGCGACGAUACAUAGCCGACCUGAGAGGGUGAUCGGCCACACUGGGACUGAGACACGGCCCAGACUCCUACGGGAGGCAGCAGUAGGGAAUCUUCGGCAAUGGACGGAAGUCUGACCGAGCAGCGCCGCGUGAGUGAAGAAGGUUUUCGGAUCGUAAAGCUCUGUUGUAAGAGAAGAACGAGUGUGAGAGUGGAAAGUUCACACUGUGACGGUAUCUCACCAGAAAGGGACGGCUAACUACGUG
RNAcentral lists this ribosomal RNA (495 nucleotides) under uncultured bacterium. RNAcentral's name for it is "partial 16S ribosomal RNA". It matches the Rfam family "Bacterial small subunit ribosomal RNA", at positions 28 to 507 of the family's 1533-position model. The record is from RNAcentral.